UACCACAAUUAUUUCCAUUCACCCUUCAGCCCCACUUUGCCAUCAGCAAUCUGGAUCCUGAAAGCAAAUUAAGAUGACAAGAGAGCACAGAAAAACAGAAACAACCAUAUAACUAUUGCACUUAGUUGAUCAGAUCAGGAACACAAGAUAACGCAUCUGCCACUACGUUAUCUGAUCCUUUAAUAUGUCUAACAACCAAAUUGUAGGGUUGUAAAAAGAGUAUCCAACGCAUUAAAGGCUGACUCGGGGACUGCAAAGAAUGCAAGAAUGUUAACGGAUUAUGAUCAGAAAACACCUCCACCGGCAUUCCUCCCUCCACAUACACAUAAAAAAACUGAAGUGCCCAAAUUAAGGAUAAAGCCUCUUGCUCGAUUACAGAGUAAUUUUUCUGAUAGGUGUUAAACUUUCGAGAAAAGAAACUCACGGGAUAGUCAAACUAGAGCUUAGAUUCUCUGCCGGGCCGUUGAUGAAGCACGUCACGUGUCACGCGCAGCAUCUCUUUCACUCGCACGCUGUAUUGUGUAGGCUAGCUAUCUUCAGUGCAACAUGGAGCUUGAAGAAGUGAAGAAAAAAAAAUCAAAACUGAUAAAACCCACCGGCGUCUCGUCAGGACGAGGAUGGAGCUCCGCCUUGUGUUCGGUGAUUUGGCUGAAGGGCGUGGUCAUACACCUGAAGGUCAUCAUGCUGCUCAAUAAAAGACUGGGACUGAGAUGAGAGCAGGAGAGUCGGUUGAGCUUGUGCUCUUUUUGUUUGCUUGGGGGUACUUUGGGGUUCAUGUCACGAGGAUGAGGACUCGUUGAGAGGUUUGGAGUAUGGGAGAUCACCACCGUCGCUUGAGCCACCUCAUGUGGGAUAUCUGUUGUCGCUGAACGUUUCAUGGACUGAGAUGGGCUGGACUGCUGUUGUUCAUAAGUACACCUACGCAUCUGCUGACACCCUGAUUAUCAUUUAUACUGAUCAUUAAUGUUGUUCUGUCUUUCAUGGAUAAAUAAACUCAUGAAUUAUGA
RNA transcript from Pimephales promelas (fathead minnow), 1007 nucleotides. RefSeq lists it as uncharacterized. The record is from RefSeq and is a predicted model, not a curated record. NCBI's taxonomy places the organism in Eukaryota, Metazoa, Chordata, Actinopteri, Cypriniformes, Leuciscidae.